RNAcentral lists this ribosomal RNA (234 nucleotides) under Clostridioides difficile. RNAcentral describes it as "partial 16S ribosomal RNA". It matches the Rfam family "Bacterial small subunit ribosomal RNA", at positions 1 to 244 of the family's 1533-position model. The record is from RNAcentral. Lineage: Bacteria; Bacillati; Bacillota; Clostridia; Peptostreptococcales; Peptostreptococcaceae.
UUAUUUGAGAGUUUGAUCCUGGCUCAGGAUGAACGCUGGCGGCGUGCCUAACACAUGCAAGUUGAGCGAUUUACUUCGGUAAAGAGCGGCGGACGGGUGAGUAACGCGUGGGUAACCUACCCUGUACACACGGAUAACAUACCGAAAGGUAUGCUAAUACGGGAUAAUAUAUUUGAGAGGCAUCUCUUAAAUAUCAAAGGUGAGCCGGUACAGGAUGGACCCGCGUCUGAUUAG